RNAcentral lists this ribosomal RNA (406 nucleotides) under uncultured bacterium. Its description in RNAcentral is "partial 16S ribosomal RNA". It matches the Rfam family "Bacterial small subunit ribosomal RNA", at positions 30 to 526 of the family's 1533-position model. The record is from RNAcentral.
AUUGAACGCUGGCGGCAGGCCUAACACAUGCAAGUCGAACGAGUGGCGGACGGGUGAGUAAUGUCUGGGAAACUGCCUGAUGGGGGGGGAUAACCACUGGAAAAGGUCGCUAAUAACGCAAACCCUCAGAUGUGACCAGAGGGGAUUAGCUUGUUGGGGGGGUAACGGCUCACUAAGGCGACGAUCCCUAGCUGGUCUGAGAGGAUGACCAGCCACACUGGAACUGGGACACGGUCCAGACUCCUACGGGAGGCAGAAUUGGGGAAUAUUGGACAAUGGGCGUAAGCCUGAUGCAGCCAUGCCGCGGGUAUGAAGAAGGCCUUCGGUUUGUAAAGUACUUUCAGCGGGGAGGCGGUACCCGCAGAAGAAGCACCGGCUAACUCCGUGCCAGCAGCCGCGGUAAUAC